This 247-nucleotide ribosomal RNA is filed under the name uncultured bacterium. Its description in RNAcentral is "partial 16S ribosomal RNA". It matches the Rfam family "Bacterial small subunit ribosomal RNA", at positions 526 to 772 of the family's 1533-position model. The record is from RNAcentral.
CGUAGGGGGCAAGCGUUAUCCGGAUUUACUGGGUGUAAAGGGAGCGUAGACGGCGCGGCAAGUCUGAAGUGAAAGGCAGGGGCUUAACCCCUGAACUGCUUUGGAAACUGCCAUGCUAGAGUGCUGGAGAGGUAAGUGGAAUUCCUAGUGUAGCGGUGAAAUGCGUAGAUAUUAGGAGGAACACCAGUGGCGAAGGCGGCUUACUGGACAGUAACUGACGUUGAGGCUCGAAAGCGUGGGGAGCAAA